RNAcentral lists this long non-coding RNA (1792 nucleotides) under Acromyrmex echinatior (Panamanian leafcutter ant). RNAcentral's name for it is "uncharacterized LOC105149256". Lineage: Eukaryota; Metazoa; Arthropoda; Insecta; Hymenoptera; Formicidae. The record is from RNAcentral.
UUAAGACUACAUGUGUAUGUUAUUAUUUAUUUAUUUUACAGAAAAAGAGAAUUUACGAUGUGCAAUUGUAAAAAACACGAAAAAGAUUUGCGAAAAUUUCAGAAAGUAAUGCUAAAGCUUUGCAGAUAGUAUAUUUAAUAUUGCAUUAUGAUAUGUGUGCCAAGUUUAUUAUAUAAUAAAAUAUUUUAUCUCUCUUUUGUGUGUGUUACAGUUGUUUGCAGAAUGCAAUGGAGCAAACUAAUGCUGCAAUGAUAGCAGCGGAAAAUGAUCGUCAACGGAACGUUUUGGACGAAUAAUGGCUUACAUUGGAUAAGAAAAAGGUUACAAGUACAUGAAAAUCUGCUUCAAACUUUGAAUAGUGUACAUAGAUUAAUGGAAAAAAUAUUGAACAAAAAUAAAUAGAUAAGUUGCGGAUCCUGGAAAUAUCUUCAUUGUAAUCUGGGAUAUCUCUUGGAUAAAGUUAUCUAGAGUAUCUUCCACAAUAAAAUGUUUCUGUAUGCGUGUGGCAAGUGUUCGUCCUUGAAAUUCUAUCUUCAUGAUCUAUAUUGAGCUUAUGAUACAAGUUUUCACACAUUGUCUAUUUCGUCUAAUUCCACGUCUUGCCAUGUGCAAUCCUUAUAUUGUGCAUGUCAGCAUAUAUAUUAAUAAUUUUGCCAGCCCUACCUGGUUAACACAUUAACUCUUCUGAGCCGACAUCUAAACGCUGUUCUUCAAACAUCAAAGUAAUGUUCUAUACAUGAUACCUGUUCUAUACCUAUCACAAAUACGCAUUAGAACCUAGGCUAUUUGAUAUUUCGUGUUUUUAAAGGAAUCAUUAGCCAUAGCCCUAAGCUGCAUCCGUCAUCAUCUUACUCAGCAAACGAGAAAUCAUUGAGAAAUAUUGAAAAUAUUAUUCAUUAAAGUCGAAAUCAAGUUUUUGAAUUUUUUAAAUCUGCUUUCUAUUCAUAAUCCGCUUGAAUCAGUAAUUAUGGAUUAGUUUUUUUUUCUGUAUCUCAAUGUGCAUAGAAAUGUAACAUGCGACCAAUCCUAUUGAAACCGUAAUUAUAUAUUGGUAAUUUACUUUUGGUAUCUUACCCAAUGUUCAAAGUAAUGAACGUGCGACUAAUUCAUUUGAAUUUAAUGUGCGAUAUUGAAGAAUUGUCUAACAUAGGAGAUUCACCAACUGCUUGUCAUCGACAAGUAAUAGUCUCAGAAAGUAAUAUCAUUGAAAAGCACACAUCAAGGUAAUAUACAUAAGUCGUUGCCUCUCAAACAAAAACCCCGGUGUGAUACACAGAGUGUGUAACAUUGUGGAUCCAUGGCGACAAGGUAAUUUUUAGACAUAACUCUCGUCAUGAUAGUGCAGGUUAUAUCUGGGAGUCAUCCUAGCUGUUGUCGUGAAUCUGUAAUAUUGUAUAUUCUGUGUAUAGUACUAUAAGGCUCAUUCAGGAAGAAACGAUUCAUAUAUCUGUGAUCACCUUGGUGCAUGCUUUCCAAUGAUAAAUCACUUUCUGGGAUCGCAGACCAGCAUUUCAUUUCUGAAUCUAUAUGAAUCUACUAGAGUUCAUAUCAUUAUAUUUAUCUAGAAACGUAAUCAGUAUGUUCAGUCUCUAUAAAAUUCAAUACCUUGUUUGCGAAUAAUGCGAAUUCGAAAACUUGAUUUAUAUGGAUUUAUCUAAUUCAAUCCGUUUGCUGGGAUAAGAUUAAAAUAAGUAAGUUAUAAGAUUCUGAAGAAUAUAAAUUCGGAUAACACAAUAUUAGAGAAUUGUUUGAGCUUAGGUGUCUUGUGUCGAAUUUAUUAUAUAUAAACAAG